GGCAUGGUGGCUCAGUGGUUAGAGCGCACGCAUCAUGAACGGGAGGUCGUGGGUUCGAACCCCGGUCGAGUCA
Strongylocentrotus purpuratus (purple sea urchin) is the source of this 73-nucleotide non-coding RNA. NCBI's taxonomy places the organism in Eukaryota, Metazoa, Echinodermata, Echinoidea, Camarodonta, Strongylocentrotidae. The record is from Rfam.